This 254-nucleotide ribosomal RNA is filed under the name uncultured bacterium. RNAcentral describes it as "partial 16S ribosomal RNA". It matches the Rfam family "Bacterial small subunit ribosomal RNA", at positions 524 to 776 of the family's 1533-position model. The record is from RNAcentral.
GACGUAGGGCGCGAGCGUUGUCCGGAUUUAUUGGGCGUAAAGAGCUCGUAGGCGGUCUGUCGCGUCGGUCGUGAAAACCUGCAGCUUAACUGUGGGCGUGCGGUCGAUACGGGCAUGACUGGAGUUCGGCAGGGGAGACUGGAAUUCCUGGUGUAGCGGUGAAAUGCGCAGAUAUCAGGAGGAACACCGGUGGCGAAGGCGGGUCUCUGGGCCGAUACUGACGCUGAGGAGCGAAAGCGUGGGGAGCGAACAGG